CCUACGGGUGGCAGCAGUGAGGAAUAUUGGUCAAUGGGCGCGAGCCUGAACCAGCCAAGUAGCGUGAAGGAUGACUGCCCUACGGGUUGUAAACUUCUUUUAUAAAGGAAUAAAGUGAGGCACGUGUGCCUUUUUGUAUGUACUUUAUGAAUAAGGAUCGGCUAACUCCGUGCCAGAAGCCGCGGUAAUACGGAGGAUCCGAGCGUUAUCCGGAUUUAUUGGGUUUAAAGGGAGCGUAGAUGGGUUGUUAAGUCAGUUGUGAAAGUUUGCGGCUCAACCGUAAAAUUGCAAUUGAUACUGGCAGUCUUGAGUACAGUUGAGGUAGGCGGAAUUCGUGGUGUAGCGGUGAAAGGCUUAGAUAUCACGAAGAACUCCGAUUGCGAAGGCAGCCUGCUGGACUGUAACUGACGCUGAUGCUCGAAAGUGUGGGUAUCAAACAGGAUUAGAUACCCCUGUAGUC
This 460-nucleotide ribosomal RNA is filed under the name uncultured bacterium. Its description in RNAcentral is "partial 16S ribosomal RNA". It matches the Rfam family "Bacterial small subunit ribosomal RNA", at positions 338 to 795 of the family's 1533-position model. The record is from RNAcentral.